Molecule: ribosomal RNA, 827 nt
Filed under: uncultured Bacillota bacterium
Lineage: Bacteria; Bacillati; Bacillota
Description: bacterial SSU rRNA
Rfam family: Bacterial small subunit ribosomal RNA
Source: RNAcentral
CAAGUCGAACGAUUAAGACUUCCUUCGGGAAGUGUAUAAAGUGGCGCACGGGUGAGUAACACGUAAGUAAUCUACCUUCGAGUGGGGAAUAACGUUCGGAAACGAACGCUAAUACCGCAUAAUGCAGCGGCAUCGCAAGAUGACAGUUGUUAAAGGAAUUUAUUUCGCUUGAAGAGGAGCUUGCGGCAGAUUAGCUAGUUGGUAAGGUAACGGCUUACCAAGGCUACGAUCUGUAUCCGGUCUAAGAGGACGGUCGGACACACUGACACUGAAUAACGGGUCAGACUCCUACGGGAGGCAGCAGUCGGGAAUUUUGGGCAAUGGGCGAAAGCCUGACCCAGCAACGCCGCGUGAAGGAUGAAGUAUUUCGGUAUGUAAACUUCGAAAGAAUGGGAAGAAUAAAUGACGGUACCAUUUAUAAGCUCCGGCUAACUACGUGCCAGCAGCCGCGGUAAUACGUAGGGAGCAAGCGUUGUUCGGAUUUACUGGGCGUAAAGGGCGCGUAGGCGGCGCGGUAAGUCACUUGUGAAAUCUCUGAGCUUAACUCAGAACGGCCAAGUGAUACUGCAGUGCUAGAGUGCAGAAGGGGCAAUCGGAAUUCUUGGUGUAGCGGUGAAAUGCGUAGAUAUCAAGAGGAACACCUGAGGUGAAGACGGGUUGCUGGGCUGACACUGACGCUGAGGCGCGAAAGCCAGGGGAGCAAACGGGAUUAGAUACCCCGGUAGUCCUGGCCCUAAACAAUGAAUACUUGGUGUCUGGAGUUUCAAGACUUCGGGUGCCGUCGCUAACGUUUUAAGUUAUUCCGCCUGGGGGAGUACGCUCGCAGA